Molecule: ribosomal RNA, 482 nt
Filed under: uncultured bacterium
Lineage: Bacteria
Description: partial 16S ribosomal RNA
Rfam family: Bacterial small subunit ribosomal RNA
Source: RNAcentral
AUUGAACGCUGGCGGCAUGCUUUACACAUGCAAGUCGAACGGUAACAGCACUUCGGUGGCUGACGAGUGGCGCACGGGUGAGUAAUACAUCGGAACGUGCCUAGGAGUGGGGGAUAUCUACUCGAGAGAGUAGCUCAUACAGCAUGAGCUCUAAGGAUGAAAGCAGGGGACCUCCGGGCCUUGCGCGACUACAGAGGCGGAUGGCAGAUUAGGUAGAUGGUGGGAUAAAAGCGUACCAAGCCGACGAUCUGUAGCUGGUCUGAGAGGACGACCAGCCACACUGGGACUGAGACACGGCCCAGACUCCUACGGGAGGCAGCAGUGGGGAAUUUUGGACAAUGGGCGCAAGCCUGAUCCAGCAAUGCCGCGUGCAGGAUGAAGGCCUUCGGGUUGUAAACUGCUUUUGUACGGAACGAAAAGCCCUCUUCUAAUACAGGAGGGUCAUGACGGUACCGUAAGAAUAAGCACCGGCUAACUACGUG